GGGGAAUAUUGCACAAUGGGGGAAACCCUGAUGCAGCAACGCCGCGUGAGUGAUGACGGUCUUCGGAUUGUAAAGCUCUGUCUUUAGGGACGAUAAUGACGGUACCUAAGGAGGAAGCCACGGCUAACUACGUGCCAGCAGCCGCGGUAAUACGUAGGUGGCAAGCGUUGUCCGGAUUUACUGGGCGUAAAGGGAGCGUAGGCGGACUUUUAAGUGGGAUGUGAAAUACCCGGGCUUAACCUGGGUGCUGCAUUCCAAACUGGAAGUCUAGAGUGCAGGAGGGGAAAUCGGAAUUCCUAGUGUAGCGGUGAAAUGCGUAGAGAUUAGGAAGAACACCAGUGGCGAAGGCGGAUUUCUGGACUGUAACUGACGCUGAGGCUCGAAAGCGUGGGGAGCAAAC
RNAcentral lists this ribosomal RNA (400 nucleotides) under uncultured bacterium. RNAcentral describes it as "bacterial SSU rRNA". It matches the Rfam family "Bacterial small subunit ribosomal RNA", at positions 356 to 773 of the family's 1533-position model. The record is from RNAcentral.